RNAcentral lists this ribosomal RNA (305 nucleotides) under Priestia megaterium. RNAcentral's name for it is "bacterial LSU rRNA". It matches the Rfam family "Bacterial large subunit ribosomal RNA", at positions 1652 to 1955 of the family's 2925-position model. The record is from RNAcentral. Lineage: Bacteria; Bacillati; Bacillota; Bacilli; Caryophanales; Bacillaceae.
AACCGACACAGGUAGGCGAGGAGAGAAUCCUAAGGUGAGCGAGAGAACUCUCGUUAAGGAACUCGGCAAAAUGACCCCGUAACUUCGGGAGAAGGGGUGCUCUGGUAGGGUGCAAGCCCGAGAGAGCCGCAGUGAAUAGGCCCAGGCGACUGUUUAGCAAAAACACAGGUCUCUGCGAAGCCGCAAGGCGAAGUAUAGGGGCUGACGCCUGCCCGGUGCUGGAAGGUUAAGAGGAGAGGUUAGCGUAAGCGAAGCUUUGAAUUGAAGCCCCAGUAAACGGCGGCCGUAACUAUAACGGUCCUAAG